This 588-nucleotide ribosomal RNA is filed under the name Colletotrichum sp. ICMP 17325. RNAcentral's name for it is "eukaryotic LSU rRNA". The stretch from base 228 to 381 matches the Rfam family "5.8S ribosomal RNA". The record is from RNAcentral. Lineage: Eukaryota; Fungi; Ascomycota; Sordariomycetes; Glomerellales; Glomerellaceae.
GGAACUUAAAAAGCGUAACAAGGUCUCCGUUGGUGAACCAGCGGAGGGAUCAUUACUGAGUUUACGCUCUACAACCCUUUGUGAACAUACCUAUAACUGUUGCUUCGGCGGGUAGGGUCUCCGCGACCCUCCCGGCCUCCCGCCCCCGGGCGGGUCGGCGCCCGCCGGAGGAUAACCAAACUCUGAUUUAACGACGUUUCUUCUGAGUGGUACAAGCAAAUAAUCAAAACUUUUAACAACGGAUCUCUUGGUUCUGGCAUCGAUGAAGAACGCAGCGAAAUGCGAUAAGUAAUGUGAAUUGCAGAAUUCAGUGAAUCAUCGAAUCUUUGAACGCACAUUGCGCCCGCCAGCAUUCUGGCGGGCAUGCCUGUUCGAGCGUCAUUUCAACCCUCAAGCUCUGCUUGGUGUUGGGGCCCUACAGCCGAUGUAGGCCCUCAAAGGUAGUGGCGGACCCUCCCGGAGCCUCCUUUGCGUAGUAACUUUACGUCUCGCACUGGGAUCCGGAGGGACUCUUGCCGUAAAACCCCCAAUUUUCCAAAGGUUGACCUCGGAUCAGGUAGGAAUACCCGCUGAACUUAAGCAUAUCAA